Molecule: ribosomal RNA, 256 nt
Filed under: uncultured bacterium
Lineage: Bacteria
Description: partial 16S ribosomal RNA
Rfam family: Bacterial small subunit ribosomal RNA
Source: RNAcentral
UACGGAGGGUGCAAGCGUUAUCCGGAUUCACUGGGUUUAAAGGGUGCGUAGGUGGGUCUGUAAGUCCGUGGUGAAAUCUCCAAGCUUAACUUGGAAACUGCCAUGGAUACUAUAGGUCUUGAAUACCGUGGAGGUGAGCGGAGUAUGUCAUGUAGCGGUGAAAUGCUUAGAUAUGACAUAGAACACCAAUCGCGAAGGCAGUCCGCCAAACCAUUACUGACACUGAAACACGAAAAGUGCGGGGGAUCAAAACAGG